GACGAACGCUGGCGGCGUGCUUAACACAUGCAAGUCGAACGGUAAGGCCCUUCGGGGUACACGAGUGGCGAACGGGUGAGUAACACGUGGGUGAUCUGCCCUGCACUUCGGGAUGAGCCUGGGAAACUGGGUCUAAUACCGGAUAGGACCAUUGCCUGCAUGGGUGGUGGUGGAAAGCUUUUGCGGUGUGGGAUGGGCCCGCGGCCUAUCAGCUUGUUGGUGGGGUGAUGGCCUACCAAGGCGACGACGGGGAGCCGGCCUGUGAGGGUGACCGGCCACAAUGGGACUGAGAUACGGCCCAGACUCCUACGGGAGGCAGCAGUGGGGAAUAUUGCGCAAUGGGCGCAAGCCUGAUGCAGCGACGCCGCGUGAGGGAUGACGGCCUUCGGGUUGUAAACCUCUUUCAGCACCGACGAAGCGCAAGUGACGGUAGGUGCAGAAGAAGGACCGGCCAACUACGUGCCAGCCGCCGCCGUAA
RNAcentral lists this ribosomal RNA (478 nucleotides) under uncultured bacterium. Its description in RNAcentral is "partial 16S ribosomal RNA". It matches the Rfam family "Bacterial small subunit ribosomal RNA", at positions 28 to 523 of the family's 1533-position model. The record is from RNAcentral.